Molecule: transfer RNA, 84 nt
Filed under: Draconibacterium sp.
Lineage: Bacteria; Pseudomonadati; Bacteroidota; Bacteroidia; Marinilabiliales; Prolixibacteraceae
Description: tRNA-Leu
Rfam family: tRNA
About the family: Transfer RNA (tRNA) molecules are approximately 80 nucleotides in length. Their secondary structure includes four short double-helical elements and three loops (D, anti-codon, and T loops).
Source: RNAcentral
GCCCAGGUGGUGAAAUUGGUAGACACGCUAGUUUCAGGGACUAGUGAGCGCAAGCUUGUGCAAGUUCGAGUCUUGUUCUGGGCA